AUGAGAUUAGAGUCUGAUGGGCACCUAAGGCUGCAUCAAUGGUCUGAUGAUGAAAAUCAGUGGCUUGAGUCUGAUGUAAUGGAGAUCUCUCGUCACUGUGAUGAUUCCCGAAGACCGUGCUGGUCGAAUGGGGAGUACAUGAUGUCUGGUGAUUGUGCUUACCCAAAAGUGUGCGGGGAGUACGGGAUAUGCACAAAUGGGCAGUGCACCUGUCCUCAUGAGAGUAAUACUAAUUCAAACUACUUCAAGCCAGUAGAUGACCGGAAAGCAAAUCUUGGUUGUAAGCCACUAAAUCCAAUCUCUUGUCAGGACAUGCAACAUCAUGAGCUCUUAAUGCUUACAGAUGUUUCCUAUUUUGAUAAUAGCCAUGCCGUUGUGAAUUUAACAAACAGAAAUGAUUGUAAGCAAGCCUGCUUGAAGAAGUGCUCCUGCAGGGCUGUUAUGUUCAGGUAUGGCCAGAACGAUUCCAAUGGUGAAUGUUUCUGGGUAACAAAGGUUUUCUCGUUGCAAUCAAUAAAACCUGAAGCUGCUCAUUACAACUCCACUGCUUAUCUCAAGGUGCACCUUAGCCCCUCCAGACGUUACAACUCUACUGCAUACUCCAACUCCAGUUCUGCUCCCACUCCAAACAAAAGGAAGGUCAUUUUAGCAAUUACAGUUCCAACAACAAGUAUUCUUGUAUUACUUCUCAUUGUUGCCAUUCUUUAUCUGCAAAGGAAGAGGAAGUAUGAAGACAGCGAUGAAGACUCUGAAUUUGAUAAUUUAUCAUCAGGAAUGCCAUUGAGGUUUUCUUUUGAGAAGUUGAGAGAAUGCACCAAAGGUUUCAGUCAAAAACUCGGGGGAGGUGGAUUCGGUUCUGUUUUUGAAGGGAAACUGGAUGAAGAGAGAGUUGCAGUGAAACGUUUGGAAGGUGCUAGACAAGGAAAGAAAGAAUUCUUGGCCGAGGUUGAAACUAUUGGCAGCAUUGAACACAUCAAUCUUAUCAAGCUUAUUGGCUUCUGUGUAGAGAAAUCUCAGAGGCUUCUGGUAUAUGAAUAUAUGUCGAGAGGGUCACUUGAUAGGUGGAUCUACAACUGUCAUAAUAAUGCCCCUUUUGAUUGGUGCACCCGAUGUAGGAUUAUUCUAGAUAUUGCCAAGGGCCUAUGUUAUCUUCAUGAAGGGUGCAGGCGAAAAAUCGCUCAUUUGGACAUCAAACCACAAAACAUUCUUUUAGACGAGAACUUCAGUGCCAAAGUGGCUGAUUUUGGACUAUCUAAGUUAAUAGACAGGGAUCAAAGCAAGGUAGUGACAAUGAUGAGAGGAACACCUGGGUAUCUGGCGCCUGAAUGGUUAACAUCGCAAAUCACUGAAAAAGUCGAUGUGUACAGCUUUGGAGUUGUUAUCUUGGAAAUAAUAAGUGGAAGAAAAAGUAUUGACCAUUCUCGGCCCGAGGAGAAUGUUCAUAUUAUUUAUUUAUUACAAGAAAAGGCUCGAAACAAUCAGUGGAUUGAUCUGAUCGAAAAUAAUAGUGAUGAUAUGGUCUCACGCCAGGAGGAAGUGAUUCAAAUGAUGAAACUUGCAAUGUGGUGCCUGCAGAAUGACAGCAGCCAUAGGCCUUCCAUGUCAACGGUGAUCAAGGUGUUGGAAGGUACUAUAAGCGUUGAAGCUGACAUAAUUCAGAGCUUUCUCAAUGCAAACUCUGCCAUGUCUGUUCAAGAUAAGCCAUACCCAUAUUCGGUUCGUGAAGCAUCUAUCUUAUCUGGCCCACGGUGA
Molecule: ribosomal RNA, 1752 nt
Filed under: Triticum aestivum (bread wheat)
Lineage: Eukaryota; Viridiplantae; Streptophyta; Magnoliopsida; Poales; Poaceae
Description: partial small subunit ribosomal RNA
Source: RNAcentral